This 501-nucleotide ribosomal RNA is filed under the name uncultured bacterium. RNAcentral describes it as "partial 16S ribosomal RNA". It matches the Rfam family "Bacterial small subunit ribosomal RNA", at positions 29 to 523 of the family's 1533-position model. The record is from RNAcentral.
AUUGAACGCUGGCGGCAUGCCUUACACAUGCAAGUCGAACGGGAGCACGGGUGCUUGCACCUGGUGGCGAGUGGCGAACGGGUGAGUAAUACAUCGGAACGUACCUUAUCGUGGGGGAUAACGCAGCGAAAGUUGCGCUAAUACCGCAUACGCCCUGAGGGGGAAAGCGGGGGACCGUAAGGCCUCGCGCGAUUAGAGCGGCCGAUGUCUGAUUAGCUUGUUGGUGAGGUAAAAGCUCACCAAGGCGAUGAUCAGUAGCUGGUCUGAGAGGACGAGCAGCCACACUGGGACUGAGACACGGCCCAGACUCCUACGGGAGGCAGCAGUGGGGAAUUUUGGACAAUGGGGGCAACCCUGAUCCAGCAAUGCCGCGUGAGUGAAGAAGGCCUUCGGGUUGUAAAGCUCUUUUGUCAGGGAAGAAACAGCAGCUCUAACACAGUCUGCGAAUGACGGUACCUGAAGAAUAAGCACCGGCUAACUACGUGCCAGCCGCCGCCGCGG